AGUGAACGCUGGCGGUAGGCCUAACACAUGCAAGUCGAACGGCAGCACAGUAAGAGCUUGCUCUUACGGGUGGCGAGUGGCGGACGGGUGAGGAAUACAUCGGAAUCUACUUUUUCGUGGGGGAUAACGUAGGGAAACUUACGCUAAUACCGCAUACGACCUACGGGUGAAAGCAGGGGAUCUUCGGACCUUGCGCGAUUGAAUGAGCUGAUGUCGGAUUAGCUAGUUGGCGGGGUAAAGGCCCACCAAGGCGACGAUACGUAGCUGGUCUGAGAGGAUGAUCAGCCACACUGGAACUGAGACACGGUCCAGACUCCUACGGGAGGCAGCAGUGGGGAAUAUUGGACAAUGGGCGCAAGCCUGAUCCAGCCAUACCGCGUGGGUGAAGAAGGCCUUCGGGUUGUAAAGCCCUUUUGUUGGGAAAGAAAAGCAGCAGGUUAAUACCCCGCUGUUCUGACGGUACCCAAAGAAUAAGCACCGGCUAACUUCGUG
This 492-nucleotide ribosomal RNA is filed under the name uncultured bacterium. RNAcentral describes it as "partial 16S ribosomal RNA". It matches the Rfam family "Bacterial small subunit ribosomal RNA", at positions 29 to 507 of the family's 1533-position model. The record is from RNAcentral.